Molecule: non-coding RNA, 54 nt
Organism: Salmo salar (Atlantic salmon)
Lineage: Eukaryota; Metazoa; Chordata; Actinopteri; Salmoniformes; Salmonidae
Source: Rfam
UGUAUUCACUACUGUAAGUUGCUCUGGAUAAGAGUGUCUGCUAAAUGACUAAAA